AACGAACGCUGGCGGCAUGCCUAACACAUGCAAGUCGAACGAGACCUUCGGGUCUAGUGGCGCACGGGUGCGUAACGCGUGGGAAUCUGCCCUUGGGUUCGGAAUAACAGUUGGAAACGACUGCUAAUACCGGAUGAUGACGUAAGUCCAAAGAUUUAUCGCCCAAGGAUGAGCCCGCGUAGGAUUAGCUAGUUGGUGAGGUAAAGGCUCACCAAGGCGGCGAUCCGUAGCUGGUCUGAGAGGAUGAUCAGCCACACUGGGACUGAGACACGGCCCAGACUCCUACGGGAGGCAGCAGUGGGGAAUAUUGGACAAUGGGCGAAAGCCUGAUCCAGCAAUGCCGUGUGUGUGAAGAAGGCCUCGGGUUGUAAAGGUCACUUUAGUUGGGUAGAAAAGACUCACAGCUAAUAAUU
This 413-nucleotide ribosomal RNA is filed under the name uncultured bacterium. RNAcentral's name for it is "bacterial SSU rRNA". It matches the Rfam family "Bacterial small subunit ribosomal RNA", at positions 29 to 468 of the family's 1533-position model. The record is from RNAcentral.